RNAcentral lists this transfer RNA (53 nucleotides) under Wadicosa fidelis. RNAcentral's name for it is "tRNA-Gly". The record is from RNAcentral. Lineage: Eukaryota; Metazoa; Arthropoda; Arachnida; Araneae; Lycosidae.
GAUAUAUUAGUAUUAUAGUAUGUUUAAUUUCCAAUUAAAAGGAGAAUUUAUUA